This 73-nucleotide transfer RNA is filed under the name Mus musculus (house mouse). RNAcentral's name for it is "tRNA-Asn". Lineage: Eukaryota; Metazoa; Chordata; Mammalia; Rodentia; Muridae. The record is from RNAcentral.
GGGAAAAUGGCUCAGUGGUUAAGAGCACUGACUGUUCUUCCAGAGGUCCUGAGAUCAAUUCCCAGCAACCACA